RNAcentral lists this transfer RNA (85 nucleotides) under Felis catus (domestic cat). It matches the Rfam family "tRNA". Rfam says of the family: Transfer RNA (tRNA) molecules are approximately 80 nucleotides in length. Lineage: Eukaryota; Metazoa; Chordata; Mammalia; Carnivora; Felidae. The record is from Rfam by way of RNAcentral.
GCCUGGGUGGCUCAGUCGGUUGAGCGUCUGAUUUCAGCUCAGGUCAUGAUCUCCCCAUUUGUGAGUUCAAGCCUUGUGUCAGGCU